AAUAGAUACCCCGGUAGUCCACGCCGUAAACGAUGAGUGCUAAGUGUUAGAGGGUUUCCGCCCUUUAGUGCUGCAGCUAACGCAUUAAGCACUCCGCCUGGGGAGUACGGUCGCAAGACUGAAACUCAAAGGAAUUGACGGGAGCCCGCACAAGCGGUGGAGCAUGUGGUUUAAUUCGAAGCAACGCGAAGAACCUUACCAGGUCUUGACAUCCCACUGACCGGUAUAGAGAUAUACCUUUCCCUUCGGGGACAGUGGUGACAGGUGGUGCAUGGUUGUCGUCAGCUCGUGUCGUGAGAUGUUGGGUUAAGUCCCGCAACGAGCGCAACCCUUGAUCUUAGUUGCCAGCAUUUAGUUGGGCACUCUAAGGUGACUGCCGGUGACAAACCGGAGGAAGGUGGGGAUGGACGGUCAAAUCAUCAUGCCCCUUAUGACCUGGGCUACACACGUGCUACAAUGGAUGGUACAAAGGGCUGCAAGACUGCGAAGUCAAGCCAAUCCCAUAAAACCAUUCUCAGUUCGGAUUGCAGG
Molecule: ribosomal RNA, 531 nt
Filed under: uncultured bacterium
Lineage: Bacteria
Description: bacterial SSU rRNA
Rfam family: Bacterial small subunit ribosomal RNA
Source: RNAcentral